Molecule: small nuclear RNA, 39 nt
Filed under: Cervus elaphus hippelaphus
Lineage: Eukaryota; Metazoa; Chordata; Mammalia; Artiodactyla; Cervidae
Source: RNAcentral
UCCCCGGAUUGUAUAAAUCUUUCGCCUUUUACAAAGGAU